This 248-nucleotide ribosomal RNA is filed under the name uncultured bacterium. RNAcentral describes it as "partial 16S ribosomal RNA". It matches the Rfam family "Bacterial small subunit ribosomal RNA", at positions 523 to 769 of the family's 1533-position model. The record is from RNAcentral.
AUACGUAGGUGGCGAGCGUUAUCCGGAUUUACUGGGGUGUAAAGGGCGUGUAGGCGGGUCUGCAAGUCGGAUGUGAAAUUCCCGGGCUUAACUCGGGCGGGUCAUCCGAAACUGCAGAUCUUGAGUACUGGAGAGGAUAGUGGAAUUCACGGUGUAGCAGUGAAAUGCGUAGAUAUCGUGAGGAACACCAAUGGCGAAGGCAGCUACCUGGACAGUAACUGACACUGAGGCAUGAAAGCGUGGGUAGC